GAUGAACGCUGGCGGCGUGCCUAAUACAUGCAAGUCGAGCGAACAGACGAGGAGCUUGCUCCUCUGACGUUAGCGGCGGACGGGUGAGUAACACGUGGAUAACCUACCUAUAAGACUGGGAUAACUUCGGGAAACCGGAGCUAAUACCGGAUAAUAUAUUGAACCGCAUGGUUCAAUAGUGAAAGACGGUUUUGCUGUCACUUAUAGAUGGAUCCGCGCCGCAUUAGCUAGUUGGUAAGGUAACGGCUUACCAAGGCAACGAUGCGUAGCCGACCUGAGAGGGGGAUCGGCCACCCGGGAACGGAGACACGGUCCAGACUCCUACGGGAGGCAGCAGUAGGGAAUCUGCCGCAGUGGGCGGAAGCCUGGCGGAGCAACGCGGCGUGAGUGAUGAAGGUCUUCGGAUCGUAAAACUCUGUUAUUAGGGAAGAACAAAUGUGGAAGUAACUAUGCACGUCUUGACGGUACCUAAUCAGAAAGCCACGGCUAACUACGUG
RNAcentral lists this ribosomal RNA (497 nucleotides) under uncultured bacterium. Its description in RNAcentral is "partial 16S ribosomal RNA". It matches the Rfam family "Bacterial small subunit ribosomal RNA", at positions 28 to 507 of the family's 1533-position model. The record is from RNAcentral.